This 813-nucleotide ribosomal RNA is filed under the name uncultured marine microorganism. RNAcentral describes it as "partial 16S small subunit ribosomal RNA". It matches the Rfam family "Bacterial small subunit ribosomal RNA", at positions 1 to 845 of the family's 1533-position model. The record is from RNAcentral.
UAUCUGCAGAAUUCGUCCUUAGAGUUUGAUCAUGGCUCAGGAUGAACGCUGGCGGUAUGCCUAACACAUGCAAGUCGAACGAUGUCUUCGGACAUAGUGGCGGACGGGUGAGUAACGCGUGAGAAUCUGCCUCUAGGAUGGGGAUAACGGUUGGAAACGACCGCUAACACCCAAUAUGCCGUAAGGUGAAAAAUUUAUUGCCUGGAGAGGAGCUCGCGUCUGAUUAGCUAGUUGGUGGGGUAAGAGCUCACCAAGGCUUCGAUCAGUAGCUGGUCUGAGAGGAUGAGCAGCCACACUGGGACUGAGACACGGCCCAGACUCCUACGGGAGGCAGCAGUGGGGAAUUUUCCGCAAUGGGCGAAAGCCUGACGGAGCAAUACCGCGUGAGGGAGGAAUGCCUUUGGGUUGUAAACCUCUUUUCUCAGGGAAGAAGAUCUGACGGUACCUGAGGAAUAAGUAUCGGCUAACUCCGUGCCAGCAGCCGCGGUAAUACGGAGGAUGCAAGCGUUAUCCGGAAUCAUUGGGCGUAAAGCGUCCGCAGGUGGUUUCCAAAGUCUGCUGUUAAAGACUGGAGCUCAACUCCGGAACGGCGGUGGAAACUUGGAAACUAGAGUUCGGUAGGGGUAGCAGGAAUUCCCAGUGUAGCGGUGAAAUGCGUAGAUAUUGGGAAGAACAUCGGUGGCGAAGGCGUGCUACUGGACCGUAACUGACACUCAGGGACGAAAGCUAGGGGAGCGAAAGGGAUUAGAUACCCCUGUAGUCCUAGCUGUAAACGAUGGAAACUAGGUGUGGCUUGUAUCGACCCGAGCCGUG